Molecule: small RNA, 46 nt
Organism: Desulfomonile tiedjei DSM 6799
Lineage: Bacteria; Pseudomonadati; Thermodesulfobacteriota; Desulfomonilia; Desulfomonilales; Desulfomonilaceae
Rfam family: Acido-Lenti-1 RNA
Source: Rfam
CCCGGCGCUGAAGCACCGGGCUAUUUUCUAUCGCCCCUUCGAGGCU